GUAUCUGGCUCAGGAUGAACGCUAGCUACAGGCUUAACACAUGCAAGUCGAGGGCAGCAUUUCAGUUUGCUUGCAAACUGGAGAUGGCGACCGGCGCACGGGUGAGUAACACGUAUCCAACCUGCCGAUAACUCGGGGAUAGCCUUUCGAAGAAAGAUUAAUACCCGAUGGUAUAAUCAGACCGCAUGGUCUGUUAUUAAGAAUUCGGUUAUCGAUGGGAUGCGUUCCAUUAGG
Molecule: ribosomal RNA, 234 nt
Filed under: uncultured bacterium
Lineage: Bacteria
Description: partial 16S ribosomal RNA
Rfam family: Bacterial small subunit ribosomal RNA
Source: RNAcentral